CCUACGGGGGGCAGCAGUGAGGAAUAUUGGUCAAUGGCCGGAAGGCUGAACCAGCCAAGUCGCGUGAAGGAAGAAGGAACUAUGGUUUGUAAACUUCUUUUAUAGGGGAAUAAAGGUUUCCACGUGUGGAUUUUUGCAUGUACCCUAUGAAUAAGCAUCGGCUAACUCCGUGCCAGCAGCCGCGGUAAUACGGAGGAUGCGAGCGUUAUCCGGAUUUAUUGGGUUUAAAGGGUGCGUAGGUGGUUUGUUAAGUCAGCGGUGAAAGUUUGUGGCUCAACCCUAAAAUUGCCGUUGAAACUGGAAGACUUGAGUGUGUUUGAGGUAGGCGGAAUGCGUGGUGUAGCGGUGAAAUGCAUAGAUAUCACGCAGAACUCCGAUUGCGAAGGCAGCUUACUAAGCCAUAACUGACACUGAGGCACGAAAGCGUGGGGAUCAAACAGGAUUAGAUACCCUUGUAGUC
RNAcentral lists this ribosomal RNA (460 nucleotides) under uncultured bacterium. RNAcentral's name for it is "partial 16S ribosomal RNA". It matches the Rfam family "Bacterial small subunit ribosomal RNA", at positions 338 to 795 of the family's 1533-position model. The record is from RNAcentral.